RNAcentral lists this ribosomal RNA (2904 nucleotides) under Escherichia coli DEC14A. Its description in RNAcentral is "bacterial LSU rRNA". It matches the Rfam family "Bacterial large subunit ribosomal RNA". The record is from RNAcentral. Lineage: Bacteria; Pseudomonadati; Pseudomonadota; Gammaproteobacteria; Enterobacterales; Enterobacteriaceae.
UAAGCGACUAAGCGUACACGGUGGAUGCCCUGGCAGUCAGAGGCGAUGAAGGACGUUCUAAUCUGCGAUAAGCGUCGGUAAGGUGAUAUGAACCGUUAUAACCGGCGAUUUCCGAAUGGGGAAACCCAGUGUGAUUCGUCACACUAUCAUUAACUGAAUCCAUAGGUUAAUGAGGCGAACCGGGGGAACUGAAACAUCUAAGUAACCCCGAGGAAAAGAAAUCAACCGAGAUUCCCCCAGUAGCGGCGAGCGAACGGGGAGCAGCCCAGAGCCUGAAUCAGUGUGUGUGUUAGUGGAAGCGUCUGGAAAGGCGCGCGAUACAGGGUGACAGCCCCGUACACAAAAAUGCACAUACUGUGAGCUCGAUGAGUAGGGCGGGACACGUGGUAUCCUGUCUGAAUAUGGGGGGACCAUCCUCCAAGGCUAAAUACUCCUGACUGACCGAUAGUGAACCAGUACCGUGAGGGAAAGGCGAAAAGAACCCCGGCGAGGGGAGUGAAAAAGAACCUGAAACCGUGUACGUACAAGCAGUGGGAGCACAGAGCAAUCUGUGUGACUGCGUACCUUUUGUAUAAUGGGUCAGCGACUUAUAUUCUGUAGCAAGGUUAACCGAAUAGGGGAGCCGAAGGGAAACCGAGUCUUAACUGGGCGUUAAGUUGCAGGGUAUAGACCCGAAACCCGGUGAUCUAGCCAUGGGCAGGUUGAAGGUUGGGUAACACUAACUGGAGGACCGAACCGACUAAUGUUGAAAAAUUAGCGGAUGACUUGUGGCUGGGGGUGAAAGGCCAAUCAAACCGGGAGAUAGCUGGUUCUCCCCGAAAGCUAUUUAGGUAGCGCCUCGUGAAUUCAUCUCCGGGGGUAGAGCACUGUUUCGGCAAGGGGGUCAUCCCGACUUACCAACCCGAUGCAAACUGCGAAUACCGGAGAAUGUUAUCACGGGAGACACACGGCGGGUGCUAACGUCCGUCGUGAAGAGGGAAACAACCCAGACCGCCAGCUAAGGUCCCAAAGUCAUGGUUAAGUGGGAAACGAUGUGGGAAGGCCCAGACAGCCAGGAUGUUGGCUUAGAAGCAGCCAUCAUUUAAAGAAAGCGUAAUAGCUCACUGGUCGAGUCGGCCUGCGCGGAAGAUGUAACGGGGCUAAACCAUGCACCGAAGCUGCGGCAGCGACGCUUAUGCGUUGUUGGGUAGGGGAGCGUUCUGUAAGCCUUUGAAGGUGUACUGUGAGGUAUGCUGGAGGUAUCAGAAGUGCGAAUGCUGACAUAAGUAACGAUAAAGCGGGUGAAAAGCCCGCUCGCCGGAAGACCAAGGGUUCCUGUCCAACGUUAAUCGGGGCAGGGUGAGUCGACCCCUAAGGCGAGGCCGAAAGGCGUAGUCGAUGGGAAACAGGUUAAUAUUCCUGUACUUGGUGUUACUGCGAAGGGGGGACGGAGAAGGCUAUGUUGGCCGGGCGACGGUUGUCCCGGUUUAAGCGUGUAGGCUGGUUUUCCAGGCAAAUCCGGAAAAUCAAGGCUGAGGCGUGAUGACGAGGCACUACGGUGCUGAAGCAACAAAUGCCCUGCUUCCAGGAAAAGCCUCUAAGCAUCAGGUAACAUCAAAUCGUACCCCAAACCGACACAGGUGGUCAGGUAGAGAAUACCAAGGCGCUUGAGAGAACUCGGGUGAAGGAACUAGGCAAAAUGGUGCCGUAACUUCGGGAGAAGGCACGCUGAUAUGUAGGUGAAGCGACUUGCUCAUGGAGCUGAAAUCAGUCGAAGAUACCAGCUGGCUGCAACUGUUUAUUAAAAACACAGCACUGUGCAAACACGAAAGUGGACGUAUACGGUGUGACGCCUGCCCGGUGCCGGAAGGUUAAUUGAUGUGGUCAGCGCAAGCGAAGCUCUUGAUCGAAGCCCCGGUAAACGGCGGCCGUAACUAUAACGGUCCUAAGGUAGCGAAAUUCCUUGUCGGGUAAGUUCCGACCUGCACGAAUGGCGUAAUGAUGGCCAGGCUGUCUCCACCCGAGACUCAGUGAAAUUGAACUCGCUGUGAAGAUGCAGUGUACCCGCGGCAAGACGGAAAGACCCCGUGAACCUUUACUAUAGCUUGACACUGAACAUUGAGCCUUGAUGUGUAGGAUAGGUGGGAGGCUUUGAAGUGUGGACGCCAGUCUGCAUGGAGCCGACCUUGAAAUACCACCCUUUAAUGUUUGAUGUUCUAACGUGGACCCGUAAUCCGGGUUGCGGACAGUGUCUGGUGGGUAGUUUGACUGGGGCGGUCUCCUCCUAAAGAGUAACGGAGGAGCACGAAGGUUGGCUAAUCCUGGUCGGACAUCAGGAGGUUAGUGCAAUGGCAUAAGCCAGCUUGACUGCGAGCGUGACGGCGCGAGCAGGUGCGAAAGCAGGUCAUAGUGAUCCGGUGGUUCUGAAUGGAAGGGCCAUCGCUCAACGGAUAAAAGGUACUCCGGGGAUAACAGGCUGAUACCGCCCAAAGAGUUCAUAUCGACGGCGGUGUUUGGCACCUCGAUGUCGGCUCAUCACAUCCUGGGGCUGAAGUAGGUCCCAAGGGUAUGGCUGUUCGCCAUUUAAAGUGGUACGCGAGCUGGGUUUAGAACGUCGUGAGACAGUUCGGUCCCUAUCUGCCGUGGGCGCUGGAGAACUGAGGGGGGCUGCUCCUAGUACGAGAGGACCGGAGUGGACGCAUCACUGGUGUUCGGGUUGUCAUGCCAAUGGCACUGCCCGGUAGCUAAAUGCGGAAGAGAUAAGUGCUGAAAGCAUCUAAGCACGAAACUUGCCCCGAGAUGAGUUCUCCCUGACUCCUUGAGAGUCCUGAAGGAACGUUGAAGACGACGACGUUGAUAGGCCGGGUGUGUAAGCGCAGCGAUGCGUUGAGCUAACCGGUACUAAUGAACCGUGAGGCUUAACCU